RNAcentral lists this ribosomal RNA (253 nucleotides) under uncultured bacterium. Its description in RNAcentral is "partial 16S ribosomal RNA". It matches the Rfam family "Bacterial small subunit ribosomal RNA", at positions 524 to 776 of the family's 1533-position model. The record is from RNAcentral.
UACGGGGGGGGCAAGCGUUGUUCGGAAUUACUGGGCGUAAAGGGCUCGUAGGUGGCCAACUAAGUCAGACGUGAAAUCCCUCGGCUUAACCGGGGAACUGCGCCUGAUACUGGAUGGCUUGAGUUUGGGAGAGGGACGCGGAAUUCCAGGUGUAGCGGUGAAAUGCGUAGAUAUCGAGAGGAACACCAGUGGCGAAGGCGAGUCUCUGGACGACACCUGACACUGAGGCACGAAAGCUAGGGGAGCAAACAGG